This 315-nucleotide long non-coding RNA is filed under the name Ananas comosus (pineapple). Its description in RNAcentral is "long non-coding RNA (ACOM_LNC031444)". The record is from RNAcentral. Lineage: Eukaryota; Viridiplantae; Streptophyta; Magnoliopsida; Poales; Bromeliaceae.
UGAUGAUAGAGCCUCCAAAUCAAUGAGCGGCACUGUUGAAUAUGAUCUAUAUCAUUUGAAGCAUGUAAAAACGAAAUUUCAUGUUUUUCUGAUAUUGUUCUUAUAGUCUAUCAAGUGUAUAUAAAAAUGAACGGCUAAAAACGAAUAUCCUUUAAAAAGUGAUGAUAGGAGUCUCGCAAUCAAGAUCGAGAGGAUAGAUCUUAUUUUAAAUAGUUCAAAGAAUUUUCUAAUAAAAAUUCAAUUGAUUUGGAUAUCUUUACAUCGUUAAACAAGAAAACGUCUCAUAUCGACCAUUAAAAUUAUAAAUUUUAAAAC